This is a long non-coding RNA of Canis lupus familiaris (dog), 2195 nucleotides long. RefSeq lists it as uncharacterized. NCBI's taxonomy places the organism in Eukaryota, Metazoa, Chordata, Mammalia, Carnivora, Canidae. The record is from RefSeq and is a predicted model, not a curated record. The transcript has 2 exons.
CAACCCAUGAGCAUGGAACAUUUUUCCAUUUCUUUGUGUCUUCCUCAAUUUCUUUCAUGAGUGUUCUAUAGUUUUUGGAGUGCAAAUCCUUUGCCUCUUUGGUUAGGUUUAUUCCUAGGGAUCUUAUGGUGUUUUCUAAAGCAGUACUGAAUAAGUCCUUUUUAAAGCAUAAAGGAAAGCAGCUUAUGUACUUUUGGGUAAGCUUUUCUAAGGAUUAACAGUCCUUGGAAAGCUAGCUGCUUUUCAGAAACUUCUAAAAGAAAGAAAAAUUAUAAACUCUAAACAGUUCAUAUCAGCAUUACCUUACAGUGUUGGUUGAGAGAUUAACAUCUCAUAGGAUUGUUGUAAGCACCUAGUACUUACCAAGCUCUUAAAAUCGGACACUGCUGUUUUCCUCGGUACUGAGAAAAUUAUGGUAUAUUUCGCCUUUUAGCUUUGUUACUUGCCAUCCCUUUUGACUGAAAUACCCUCAUCCUUUAAUUCCUGCCCAUUCUCUGGGUUUCAGCUUAAAAGUGAUUGCCUCUAGAAAGGUAUCUCCCUGGAGAUAAGCCAGAAUAGACAGAAGAGAAGUCUGGAAUAGAUGCCUCUUCCUCUUUUUUUUUUUUUUCUUCAUAUCCUGUACUUAACCAAAGUAUAGCAUAGUAUUUGUCACAGUAUAUUGCAAUGAUGUGUGAUUGUUUUAAGUUUCCAACUAUAAACUGGAAGUGGACUUAGAUGACCUCUGGAGUCCCUUAUAGAAUUACAAUGUUGUAUCUGGGUGGAUGAGUUUCUGGUUUUCAUUUUAUUCUGAUUUUAUUUUUAGAAACAACAGCAAAUUUGCCACGAGGGGGCACCAAUGAACAGUUUUUCCAAAGGCAGUCACAAUCAAAUGAUAGCUUCAGUGGUUUCUAGACUUAACAUGUGUAAGAAUCAUUUGGCAAACAUUUUUCUUUAAAUACAGUGAGGGGCCUCUCCCUCACAUGACGGGGACUUUGGCAUCUGUAUAUAUUUUGAAACUUUUUCACAUUGUGAUUCAUGCACUGCUAGAUCUGGUUACCUUUUUUUAGUCAAAGGCAGUGGUUCUUAAACGAUUUGGUCUCAGGUCGCCUUUGCACUCUUAAAAAUUGUUGAGGACUCCAGAGAGCUUUGGUUUACAUGGUUUGUACCUGUUAGUAUUUAUCAUAUGAGAAAUUAUUUAUUAGUUUAUUUAAAAAUAGGCCAUCAUGGUUUUUUUUUGAAAAUUAGAAGAAAUGGCGCUGUUUUACCUUUUGAAAAGGUUUAAAUGUAUGCCUUAAUAAAAGACGGCUGGAUUCCUAUAUCAGCAUUCAAAUUGUUGCAGUAAGUUAUCUUGGGUGAAGUAUAUAAAGAAAAUCUAACCUCAUUCAGAUAUAUAAUUAAAAAGAGGAAGAGUAUGUUAAUAGCCCUGCCAAAUAACUUAUGAUAUUCUUUGAUAUUAUAAUACAACCUGGUAAAUGGUAAUUUCUUGAAGUUUAGUUGUAAUAUGGAAUCUCAAAGCAUAUCCAUGAAUUUUUAUAUUCUGUUAUAUUAAAAUGUGUUGUUCUGUCCUGCUCUUUGAAUGAAUUUUAUAAUAGGAAUUACAGCAUGAAUUUAUAACAUGAUGCAUUGUCUUUUGGAAAAUAAUGAUUCACUGAAUUAUUCAGAUUUUGAACAUAUUGAUAUAUUUCAUUAUACAAUAUAAAAAAAAUGUGUUAAUAUUGCCACUGAUCUCAUCAGAAAAGUCUUAAGUAUUAGGAACUGUAAGCUUCUGAUAAUGGUUACAAAUUUUUCAAAAUAAUAUAUAUUUUUUAAAGCUCAAGUUUUAUCACAGACAAGAAAUACCAUUGAUUUUUCUUGAAAUGACAGGAUCACUUUAUUCAUUUUUGAGGACACAUCUGCCAAAUACUCAUGUUGAGUAACCACAGUUUGCCUGCCAGUAGUUAUUUGAACAGUGUGCCGUGAAAAAAAGCAGCAAGUUUAGCUUACAAGUCCUACAGUGCCUUUCUUCAAGACAACCUCAUACUUUGAAAAGAAAAUUGACUAAUCAAAUCAGAUUUACAUGAUCCAUAGUGGAAUGGAGGAGACUUUUAAUAAGAAAAAAGAAGAAACCAGAUGAAGAUAGCAGUCCUGAGUUGUGCCCUGGAAUUUAUCUUAAUACUUAGAAACUGGAGCAGCACCACUGUCUCAGCAGUGACAAUAAAUCUUUUUUAAAUCAUUAA